RNAcentral lists this long non-coding RNA (6404 nucleotides) under Chlamydomonas reinhardtii. Its description in RNAcentral is "long non-coding RNA (CREI_LNC000411)". Lineage: Eukaryota; Viridiplantae; Chlorophyta; Chlorophyceae; Chlamydomonadales; Chlamydomonadaceae. The record is from RNAcentral.
CGCCAUGACGGCGGGCAUCAUGGUCACUGACAGCGGGUACUGACCGUCGCGCAGCCGGCCGCGCAAGAGGAUGUGGCCGGCGUGCCCUAUGGUCACGUCCCCCCCCCUCGAAGACUACCCUAGUGCCGCUGGCCGCCAGCCGGCGCACGGAUAGCAGGGUGAGGUGGGCUGCUGGCACGUACAGCACGCCCGUCACGUCCACGAGCUGGCCUCCCGAGAGCAUCCGGAGAGUCCCCAAUCCCUUGACUGGGCUGCUGCGACCAUCCCCCCACAGCACGUGACUCACUCUCGAGGUCAGCUUGAAGUCGUGAAGCAGGUGCAGGAGCGGCGUGAUGUGAGCGAAGGUGCCGGAGUCAACGACGGGCACGUCGAAGACGGCGGCGGCGCUCCUGGAGCUGCCACCACCAGCACUGGCUGACACCACGCUGCUGCUACUGCCGCCUGCGUUGGGGCCCAGCAUGUUGUCUCCGCUCAAGUCGCGGACGACGAACACGUGGCCGCCGGAACUGGUGGUCCAGGACAACCGCGCGGUGGGGAAAGGACAGCAGGCUGCUGCUCGCGCCCGUCGGCGACGGCGCGGCGCUGCCGCUGUAGCUGCUGCUGCCGAGGCCUCGGAGGGCCAGGCUGCUGCGGCUGGUGCUGAUGCUACUGCUGCUACCGCGGACCCCACCCGCGGAGCUGCGCAGGCCGAGCCCGCCGGGUGGCUGCGCAGGCCGGGCCCGCCGUUGUCCCACCCAACUGGCUGAGAAUCCGGGUUCACUGCUGCAAUGGCUGUGGCGGCGAACACGCUGAUGCUGUCGUACAGCUGCUGUCGUACACACCGCCCCCCGCCGCCGCAGACGUAGCAGCAUUGACAGCUGCUGAAAACUGCAAGGGAACAUUCUGAGGGCAAGGGGCGAAGCCGCCGCCAGCGCCAUAGGCGCCAGCGGCUCAGCAGCAAUAUGCUGCUAGUGCAUGGUGGUCCGCACCAGCACCAGAGGCGCUAGCGCAAGAGCAGGUUGGGGACAGAUGUGUCGCCACAACAACACCGCACAGGCUUGCCCGCCCAGUCCCAACUGCGGCGAACGAGAAUACUGCGAAGCCCAUUGGCCCACUGCACGUCCCACAUCACAAAUGAAUUGCCACUUACACAGCAGAUAGCCUGGCAAGGGCUACCAUCACCGCUGCCCACUGGUAUGGUGAUGAGAUGCUGCGCCUGCCGCCGCUGCUUUACGGCGCGGCGGAACCAGGGUUGGCCAUUUGCCGCCGCUGCCCACAGGCGCGGCAGCACUUCCCGCCACCAGCGCUGCGGCAUCGCUGUUACUGCCAGCCGCACGCAUGCUUAGGCGGGGAAAUAGCUUCGACCGUCCUGACUCCGGGAGAAGCGCGAUAGGGCAGGCUGCAGACGCCACGCCUGGGCUGCCAACACACACCCCACUGCUGCGACUCACGCCGGAAUACAGAGGGAAGCUGCACGUGGCAGCGUGACAUGGGAGCGGGGUAACGCAUCUGCUGCACAGUUCCGCCGUCGCUGGCGAAACCUCCCCCUGCUACCGCACACCGCUGCUGCGAGUGCUGGAGAUGAGCAACGUACCAUAGGUCAGCAGCCGCCGUGCUAGCCGCAUAAACUCAGAACGGCGGCCUGCCGUCGCUGCUAAUCACAUAGCGCGCCGUUGCUGCUACCGCUGCUGGGCCGGGUCCGGCCGCGCUGUAGCUGAGAUGCUGAAGUCACUGCUGCUGGCGAAGUCUCCCAGCCCACGCCAGCGCUGUGCACACCGCCACCGGUCAUGCCGUGACUACCUGCUCACCCGCCGAAGCCAUUGGCUCGGCGGCGCUGCAGGCGCGGAGGCAUCACCACCGGUAACCCAAUCCCGCGGCUGAUACCCACACGUGAAGCACCUACUUGGAGGGCAGCAAGACCACCCGUAGUCCGCGGCCGCCGCAAAGACACACGUCCAGCGACGCCGCUGCCGCCGCCGUAGCUCGCAGGCACGGCGCGCUGCUUGCUGCUGCCACAACUGCAAAGUCGACUGCAGUGAUGAGGCACAAGGGAGGGGGACAGCAGGCAGCCACCAAGGCACGGGGCCCCGGCACGCUGCUGCACAAGCGGGCACCCUGUGGCGGGCCGCUGCGCACUGCUGUCUGCCGCUACCAACGCGAGGGACGCGCAGUAGCAGGCCUGCUGACGCUACGCUACUGCCGCGGUCUGCCAGCCCGCGGUCUCGCUAUAGCUUCUGCGCCCGCCGGCACGUCAGUGACGCCGGCGGUGCAGGUGCCAAGGGCCCAGCGCUGACUAUGCCGCCGCCAGCCCGACCAGGUCCAUAAAGCACGAUCAGCAGCACCACCAUAUCCCGCUGCCACCGCUGUCCACGCCGCGCGACGCCCCCGCAACUGCCAACCCCGCCAGCAGUUGAGCCCACUGCCCUACUGCUGCGGCGGUGGAGCUACGCUGAGGCACAAUGCCCGCGACGCGACCGGUGGAGACACUCACUCAAUAUUGAAGUGCCCAUGCAGGCUGCUGUGGCGAUGACGCUGCUGCAGCACUGCAGUUGCUGUCGCCCCCGCAGCUGCUGCCGCCGCUGCAGCCCGAAGGGGCGCGGCGCGCGCGCUGCAGCUAGCCGCCGCAGCCGGUUGACUCGGCCGGGGCGCACAGCUCCCACCCCUAGACACCUGACGGCGAGGCGCCGGACUGCUGCUGGAGAGUAGACGCUCCGCGAAAGCAAGCAGUCGUCCGCCGAGAGGGAGACGAGGGGGGGAAGGAGAGCAAACCGAAAGCGUCCGGGUUUCGCACACCCGUUAUCGCGACCUAACAAAGCCGGAGUCACUAAGCACAACCUACCGCGCGCGGGUCACCGCAACGCGGGGCUCAUAACCUGUUGGAGAUAUUGGGGUCGGCUGGCUAGGACUCACGGCGGGUGCGUUACACACGAGCGCAGCUAUGCUGCCUGGCACCGUAUUGGGGGGUCUGGUCCGCUACAUCCUGCGUGUGUAGUUAGCAAAACGUGCGCUCUAGCCGGGGCAAUACCCCCCGGGCGCCACGCCUGCGGCCUGGGACUGGCUGACAGACGUGACCGGCCACGAGCCGUCAACUGCCGCACUGACCUCGCCUAUCACGCGGUUCGGGACGCAACCUUGCGGGACUCACGCCCGCAAACCCCAAAUAACCAACACUCCCCCUCGGACCGAACCGGGUCCAACAGUCAACCGCCUCAUGACAGCCAACUAACAACAAGGGGAACAGGCAAGGCCAAUCACUGGCCGCAGAGGAGGAAUUACCUCCCCCUCAAAGAAGCACGUCUGGCACAGCUAGCUAGUUGACCCUAUGCACUGCAACACAGGCGCGCGUACCACAAGUCACACUGCCACCAGUCGCUGCCCAUAUGCUAUACCCAAGCUGCCAACCAGGCUCAAAUUACACGGGCGCAUCAGGCGCGCACACCGCCGCUGCUGAUGACGCCGUCACUCUAGGCUCCACUGAGUCACGCAAAGCUGGCACAAGCAGGCAGCCAGCCGUUACGCUAGAGCUGCUGUCCAGGCUGGUCGGCGCAAACUGUGGCGACGGCGUGACGUGCAGCCUCAACGGAGCUGCGCAAUCAAUGGCCGCCAUGUGGUGCCUGUUCCCCUUGUUGUUAGUUGGCUGUCAUGUGGCGGUUGACUGUUGGACCCGGUUCGGUCCGAGGGGGAGUGUUGGUUAUUUGGGGUUUGCGGGCGUGAGUCCCGCAAGGUUGCGUCCCGAACCGCGUGAUAGGCGAGGUCAGUGCGGCAGUUGACGGCUCGUGGCCGGUCACGUCUGUCAGCCAGUCCCAGGCCGCAGGCGUGGCGCCCGGGGGGUAUUGCCCCGGCUAGAGCGCACGUUUUGCUAACUACACACGCAGGAUGUAGCGGACCAGACCCCCCAAUACGGUGCCAGGCAGCAUAGCUGCGCUCGUGUGUAACGCACCCGCCGUGAGUCCUAGCCAGCCGACCCCAAUAUCUCCAACAGGUUAUGAGCCCCGCGUUGCGGUGACCCGCGCGCGGUAGGUUGUGCUUAGUGACUCCGGCUUUGUUAGGUCGCGAUAACGGGUGUGCGAAACCCGGACGCUUUCGGUUUGCUCUCCUUCCCCCCCUCGUCUCCCUCUCGGCGGACGACUGCUUGCUUUCGCGGAGCGUCUACUCUCCAGCAGCAGUCCGGCGCCUCGCCGUCAGGUGUCUAGGGGUGGGAGCUGUGCGCCCCGGCCGAGUCAACCGGCUGCGGCGGCUGCAGCGCGCGCGCCGCGCCCCUUCGGGCUGCAGCGGCGGCAGCAGCUGCGGGGGCGACAGCAACUGCAGUGCUGCAGCAGCGUCAUCGCCACAGCAGCCUGCAUGGGCACUUCAAUAUUGAGUGAGUGUCUCCACCGGUCGCGUCGCGGGCAUUGUGCCUCAGCGUAGCUCCACCGCCGCAGCAGUAGGGCAGUGGGCUCAACUGCUGGCGGGGUUGGCAGUUGCGGGGGCGUCGCGCGGCGUGGACAGCGGUGGCAGCGGGAUAUGGUGGUGCUGCUGAUCGUGCUUUAUGGACCUGGUCGGGCUGGCGGCGGCAUAGUCAGCGCUGGGCCCUUGGCACCUGCACCGCCGGCGUCACUGACGUGCCGGCGGGCGCAGAAGCUAUAGCGAGACCGCGGGCUGGCAGACCGCGGCAGUAGCGUAGCGUCAGCAGGCCUGCUACUGCGCGUCCCUCGCGUUGGUAGCGGCAGACAGCAGUGCGCAGCGGCCCGCCACAGGGUGCCCGCUUGUGCAGCAGCGUGCCGGGGCCCCGUGCCUUGGUGGCUGCCUGCUGUCCCCCUCCCUUGUGCCUCAUCACUGCAGUCGACUUUGCAGUUGUGGCAGCAGCAAGCAGCGCGCCGUGCCUGCGAGCUACGGCGGCGGCAGCGGCGUCGCUGGACGUGUGUCUUUGCGGCGGCCGCGGACUACGGGUGGUCUUGCUGCCCUCCAAGUAGGUGCUUCACGUGUGGGUAUCAGCCGCGGGAUUGGGUUACCGGUGGUGAUGCCUCCGCGCCUGCAGCGCCGCCGGGCCAAUGGCUUCGGCGGGUGCGCAGGUAGUCACGGCAUGACCGGUGGCGGUGUGCACAGCGCUGGCGAGGGCUGGGAGACUUCGCCAGCAGCAGUGACUUCAGCAUCUAAGCUACGUACAGCGCGGCCGGACCCGGCCCAGCAGCAGUAGCAGCAACGGCGCGCUAUGUGAUUAGCAGCGACGGCAGGUCGCCGUUCUGAGUUUAUGCGGCUAGCACGGCGGCUGCUGACCUAUGGUACGUUGCUCAUCUCCAGCACUCGCAGCAGCGGUGUGCGGUAGCAGGGGGAGGUUUCGCCAGCGACGGCGGAACUGUGCAGCAGAUGCGUUACCCCGCUCCCAUGUCACGCUGCCACGUGCAGCUUCCCUCUGUAUUUCGGCGUGAGUCGCAGCAGUGGGGUGUGUGUUGGCAGCCCAGGCGUGGCGUCUGCAGCCUGCCCUAUCGCGCUUCUCCCGGAGUCAGGACGGUCGAAGCUAUUUCCCCGCCUAAGCAUGCGUGCGGCUGGCAGUAACAGCGAUGCCGCAGCGCUGGUGGCGGGAAGUGCUGCCGCGCCUGCGGGCAGCGGCGGCAAAUGGCCAACCCUGGUUCCGCCGCGCCGUAAAGCAGCGGCGGCAGGCGCAGCAUCUCAUCACCAUACCAGUGGGCAGCGGUGAUGGUAGCCCUUGCCAGGCUAUCUGCUGUGUAAGUGGCAAUUCAUUUGUGAUGUGGGACGUGCAGUGGGCCAAUGGGCUUCGCAGUAUUCUCGUUCGCCGCAGUUGGGACUGGGCGGGCAAGCCUGUGCGGUGUUGUUGUGGCGACACAUCUGUCCCCAACCUGCUCUUGCGCUAGCGCCUCUGGUGCUGGUGCGGACCACCAUGCACUAGCAGCAUAUUGCUGCUGAGCCGCUGGCGCCUAUGGCGCUGGCGGCGGCUUCGCCCCUUGCCCUCAGAAUGUUCCCUUGCAGUUUUCAGCAGCUGUCAAUGCUGCUACGUCUGCGGCGGCGGGGGGCGGUGUGUACGACAGCAGCUGUACGACAGCAUCAGCGUGUUCGCCGCCACAGCCAUUGCAGCAGUGAACCCGGAUUCUCAGCCAGUUGGGUGGGACAACGGCGGGCCCGGCCUGCGCAGCCACCCGGCGGGCUCGGCCUGCGCAGCUCCGCGGGUGGGGUCCGCGGUAGCAGCAGUAGCAUCAGCACCAGCCGCAGCAGCCUGGCCCUCCGAGGCCUCGGCAGCAGCAGCUACAGCGGCAGCGCCGGUGCAGGAGCGGCGUGAUGUGAGCGAAGGUGCCGGAGUCAACGACGGGCACGUCGAAGACGGCGGCGGCGCUCCUGGAGCUGCCACCACCAGCACUGGCUGACACCACGCUGCUGCUACUGCCGCCUGCGUUGGGGCCCAGCAUGUUGUCUCCGCUCAAGUCGCGGAC